GUACCAAUAAAAAUGAACCAAAGACCAUGCUAUAUGUAUAUUUUUUACCUGCAAGUCCAUGUAAUUAAUAUAAUAUACAAAAACCAGAAAAGAAAGCGGAAACACAUCAACAAUGGCAGAAGGAGCAAAGAGGCGUGCAGUUGUUACAGGUUCAAAUCAAGGGAUUGGAUUUGGAACAGUUACGCUAUUGGCUUCAGAAGGGGUCAAGGUUGUGCUAACUGCUUUGGAUGAGAAGAGAGGUCUUGAAGCUAUUGAAAAGCUAAAAGACUAUGGCUUCUCAGAUCUUGUGGUUUAUCAUCAGCUCGAUGUAACUGACCCAAUAGCAUUGCUUUCCUUGCCGAUUUUGUCAAAACCCAAUUUGGGAAACUCGAUAUCUUGGUAAACAAUGCAGGGAUUGGUGGAACCUUUGUAGACCCUGAAGCUUUCAAAGCUGCUGCAGCUGCAGGCAUGGGUAAGAAUGAUGUAGUAGUCAACUUGAGUAAACUAAUCUCUCAAACAUAUGAUUUAGCUGAAGAAUGUGUGAAAAUAAACUACUAUGGUGCCAAGAAAAUGACUGAAGCAUUCCUUCCUCUCCUUCAGCUAUCUGAUUCUCCAAGAGUUUCCAAUAUUACUUCUGGCGGGGGACAGUUCAUGAUAUGAACAUAUACCAAAUGAAUGGAGAGAUGUUGUUGAGUGAUGCUGAGAAUCUUACAGAACAGAGAGUGGAUGAGGUUUUGAGGGAGUUUCUAAAAGACUUCAAAGAAGAUUUGCUGGAAACCAAAGGCUGGCCUACUUCUCUUUCUGCAUAUAUACUCUCCAAAGCAGCCUCGAAUGCAUACACUAGAAUUGUGGCCAAGAAGUACACAAACAUCGGCGUCAAUUGUGUCUGCCCUGGAUUUGUUAAAACAGAAAUGAGCUUCAAUGCUGGUGUCUUAACCCCUGAUGAAGCUGCUGAAAUUAUUGUGCGGUUAACAGUGUUUCCGAAUGGCAAUCCAUCUGGACUCUACUUCUCUUCAGAAGAAGUCUCACCAUAUAAUAUACUCUUUCAAUUUUAUACAUUGUAAAUCUAGUAUUUCAAAUAAAAAUGUUAAUCAUGAUUGAUGAAGGUAUAUAAACACUUUGUUUAUGAUAAAAUGGCCUUAAUAAACUGCACAAUU
Long non-coding RNA from Rosa chinensis, 1136 nucleotides. RefSeq lists it as uncharacterized. Lineage: Eukaryota; Viridiplantae; Streptophyta; Magnoliopsida; Rosales; Rosaceae. The record is from RefSeq and is a predicted model, not a curated record. The transcript has 5 exons.